Molecule: ribosomal RNA, 253 nt
Filed under: uncultured bacterium
Lineage: Bacteria
Description: partial 16S ribosomal RNA
Rfam family: Bacterial small subunit ribosomal RNA
Source: RNAcentral
UACGAAGGGGGCUAGCGUUGCUCGGAAUCACUGGGCGUAAAGCGCACGUAGGCGGAUUGCUAAGUCAGGGGUGAAAUCCUGGAGCUCAACUCCAGAACUGCCUUUGAUACUGGCGAUCUUGAGUCCGGGAGAGGUGAGUGGAACUCCGAGUGUAGAGGUGAAAUUCGUAGAUAUUCGGAAGAACACCAGUGGCGAAGGCAGCUCUCUGGGACGGUACUGACGCUGAGACGCGAAAGCGUGGGGAGCGAACAGG